CUUUUUUAUCUCUAUUCGUCGCAAUCAAGUCAUUUUCUCUCCUUCUCACGCUGCUUCUCUCAGCUCGACCGGGAACCCGCGAAACUGAAAAACUCAAACACGGCCUCUCUCCUUCUUACUCAGCUCUUUCAGAUUUAUCCGAUUCUCACUCUCUCCUUCAUCUUCUCACUCUCUUGAUUCUUCUUCUUAGUCUCUACUUCAUCUUUGGUGUCCGGAUUAAUGGAGCUCUCCAACAAGCAGUAAAGCAUGUUUUCGAUUCGGAUAUUGAGCUAGUAAAACUAUGCAACAUAUAAUGCCAUAUCAAAUCUGUGUAGCACUGAGGCAAUCCAAUAUUUGUUGAAGCUUUGCAAGCAUGAGGAGGACUCGCAGGCUGAUGAUGGAGAUACAACUUUUACUUUAUUUGCAUCUCUACUUGACUCUGCUCUUCAAGGGUUGAUACCUUUUCCUGACCUGAUACUAAGACUUGAAGAAUCGUGCAUAAAUGUUUCAGAGUCAAUUAUGCAGUGUAAACUUCACCAAGAGUGCUGCAACAUAGAAUGCCAAAUUUGAGGCUACAAAAAGGUUUUUGUAGUAGGUUGAAGCUUUGGAAAGAUUCACAGAGACAAUAUCUUUUGGUGGAAUUAACUACGCCUUGUUGUCUUUUGAUACAGGUAUGGUUCCAACAUACGGCAUCAGAUUGUAGAAGAUAAGUUGAUGAGGCAGAAGGCUCAACUCUUACUUGAUGAGGCUGCUUCCUAGUCCCUCCUGUGUUACCUCUUUGGAAAAGGCUUUAUCAAUUUUGAAAUUGCAGAAGGGCAAUCAAAUGCCUGAAGAUUACCCCAGAUCUUUCAAACAAGCAGCUGCAGAAAACAAGAUAGUACUACGCCUAUAGGCAUACUUGGUCUUCUUUGCAGAAAUUAUGUCUUGCUUUCUUUAAUUAUGACCUAGAAAAUUCAUGGUACUAGAAUGCUAAAUAUUUUCUUAUCUUGUGGGUUUAUCUCAUAGGAAUUUAGGAUGGAUCUGAUGAAUAACUAGUUAUCUACACAAGUAUCUUAUUGAAACUCUUUUUGCAGGCUUUCAUUUUUGAUUUUCAACCUUAAGAUCCUAAAAAAAUAUUUUAGUUUGCAGGAUGAUAAUGAGUAUUCCCUUUCAAAAAUUUGGAGUAGAGACGUACAGUGUUGAAAAGGGAUUCACUCUCGGAUUACACUUUUGCUCUGAAUCCCUGUGUAUAAAACCAACAUCUCCAACUGCUUUCCAAUUUGAGAAGCCUCCAUCAAAGUCACCAUCUGCUUUCCAAUUCGAGAAGCCUCCCUGGGAGGAUUCGAAGUAGAACUAAGAUAAGUGAAAGAUGAAAGUGGCUUUGAUUGGUUCUGGUAUUAGUGGUUUUGUCUCAACUUAUUUUCUUGCAAAAGAAGGCGUUGAAGUGGUUCUAUAU
Molecule: long non-coding RNA, 1414 nt
Organism: Rosa chinensis
Lineage: Eukaryota; Viridiplantae; Streptophyta; Magnoliopsida; Rosales; Rosaceae
Exons: 8
Source: RefSeq, a predicted model, not a curated record